AGUGAACGCUGGCGGUAGGCCUAACACAUGCAAGUCGAACGGCAGCACAGUAAGAGCUCGCUCUUACGGGUGGCGAGUGGCGGACGGGUGAGGAAUACAUCGGAAUCUACUUUUUCGUGGGGGAUAACGGAGGGAAACUUACGCUAAUACCGCAUACGACCUACGGGUGAAAGCAGGGGAUCUUCGGACCUUGCGCGAUUGAAUGAGCCGAUGUCGGAUUAGCUAGUUGGCGGGGUAAAGGCCCACCAAGGCGACGAUCCGUAGCUGGUCUGAGAGGAUGAUCAGCCACACUGGAACUGAGACACGGUCCAGACUCCUACGGGAGGCAGCAGUGGGGAAUAUUGGACAAUGGGCGCAAGCCUGAUCCAGCCAUACCGCGUGGGUGAAGAAGGCCUUCGGGUUGUAAAGCCCUUUUGUUGGGAAAGAAAAGCAGCAGGUUAAUACCCCGCUGUUCUGACGGUACCCAAAGAAUAAGCACCGGCUAACUUCGUG
RNAcentral lists this ribosomal RNA (492 nucleotides) under uncultured bacterium. Its description in RNAcentral is "partial 16S ribosomal RNA". It matches the Rfam family "Bacterial small subunit ribosomal RNA", at positions 29 to 507 of the family's 1533-position model. The record is from RNAcentral.